RNAcentral lists this transfer RNA (86 nucleotides) under Acidobacteriota bacterium. RNAcentral's name for it is "tRNA-Tyr". It matches the Rfam family "tRNA". Rfam says of the family: Transfer RNA (tRNA) molecules are approximately 80 nucleotides in length. Their secondary structure includes four short double-helical elements and three loops (D, anti-codon, and T loops). Further hydrogen bonds mediate the characteristic L-shaped molecular structure. tRNAs have two regions of fundamental functional importance: the anti-codon, which is responsible for specific mRNA codon recognition, and the 3' end, to which the tRNAs corresponding amino acid is attached (by aminoacyl-tRNA synthetases). tRNAs cope with the degeneracy of the genetic code in two manners: having more than one tRNA (with a specific anti-codon) for a particular amino acid; and 'wobble' base-pairing, i.e. permitting non-standard base-pairing at the 3rd anti-codon position. The record is from RNAcentral. RNAcentral also lists the same sequence under 1 other name. Lineage: Bacteria; Pseudomonadati; Acidobacteriota.
GGAGUGGUAGCGAAGCGGCCAAACGCAGCAGGCUGUAAACCUGCCGGCUUAUGCCUUCGGAGGUUCGAAUCCUCCCCGCUCCACCA